GUGGUAUCCUGUCUGAAUAUGGGGGGACCAUCCUCCAAGGCUAAAUACUCCUGACUGACCGAUAGUGAACCAGUACCGUGAGGGAAAGGCGAAAAGAACCCCGGCGAGGGGAGUGAAAAAGAACCUGAAACCGUGUACGUACAAGCAGUGGGAGCACAGGUUUACCUGUGUGACUGCGUACCUUUUGUAUAAUGGGUCAGCGACUUAUAUUCUGUAGCAAGGUUAACCGAAUAGGGGAGCCGGAGGGAAACCGAGUCUUAAUUGGGCGUUAAGUUGCAGGGUAUAGACCCGAAACCCGGUGAUCUAGCCAUGGGCAGGUUGAAGGUUGGGUAACACUAACUGGAGGACCGAACCGACUAAUGUUGAAAAAUUAGCGGAUGACCUGUGGCUGGGGGUGAAAGGCCAAUCAAACCGGGAGAUAGCUGGUUCUCCCCGAAAGCUAUUUAGGUAGCGCCUCGUGAAUUCAUCUCCGGGGGUAGAGCACUGUUUCGGCUAGGGGGCCAUCCCGGCUUACCAACCCGAUGCAAACUGCGAAUACCGGAGAAUGUUAUCACGGGAGACACACGGCGGGUGCUAACGUCCGUCGUGAAGAGGGAAACAACCCAGACCGCCAGCUAAGGUCCCAAAGUCAUGGUUAAGUGGGAAACGAUGUGGGAAGGCCCAGACAGCCAGGAUGUUGGCUUAGAAGCAGCCAUCAUUUAAAGAAAGCGUAAUAGCUCACUGGUCGAGUCGGCCUGCGCGGAAGAUGUAACGGGGCUAAACCAUGCACCGAAGCUGCGGCAGCGAACGUAUCACCCAAGACAACUUUACGGAGUUGACGAUUGACGGAGCGAAGCGACGUCAAAGCGUUCAUUAAAGUCGAGUUGGCUUAGGGAUACGUUCGUUGGGUAGGGGAGCGUUCUGUAAGCCUGUGAAGGUGUGUCGUGAGGCAUGCUGGAGGUAUCAGAAGUGCGAAUGCUGACAUAAGUAACGAUAAAGCGGGUGAAAAGCCCGCUCGCCGGAAGACCAAGGGUUCCUGUCCAACGUUAAUCGGGGCAGGGUGAGUCGACCCCUAAGGCGAGGCCGAAAGGCGUAGUCGAUGGGAAACGGGUUAAUAUUCCCGUACUUGGUGUUACUGCGAAGGGGGGACGGAGAAGGCUAUGUUGGCCGGGCGACGGUUGUCCCGGUUUAAGCGUGUAGGUGUGUGUUCCAGGUAAAUCCGGUUCACUU
This 1209-nucleotide ribosomal RNA is filed under the name Salmonella enterica subsp. enterica. Its description in RNAcentral is "partial 23S ribosomal RNA". It matches the Rfam family "Bacterial large subunit ribosomal RNA", at positions 426 to 1552 of the family's 2925-position model. Lineage: Bacteria; Pseudomonadati; Pseudomonadota; Gammaproteobacteria; Enterobacterales; Enterobacteriaceae. The record is from RNAcentral.